RNAcentral lists this transfer RNA (109 nucleotides) under Thermoproteota archaeon. Its description in RNAcentral is "tRNA-OTHER". It matches the Rfam family "tRNA". From Rfam's summary of the family: Transfer RNA (tRNA) molecules are approximately 80 nucleotides in length. Lineage: Archaea; Thermoproteati; Thermoproteota. RNAcentral also lists the same sequence under 1 other name. The record is from RNAcentral.
GGGGACGUAGUCUAGUAUGGUCCAGGAUCCCAGAGCCGAGAGCGGGGAACCUGGGGCGCUGGAGGCUCGAAAGCGCCAGAAAUCGCGAGUUCAAAUCUCGCCGUCCCCA